UCCAAAUCGUGCUGGUAGCUUAGUUCC
RNAcentral lists this non-coding RNA (27 nucleotides) under Mus musculus (house mouse). The record is from RNAcentral. Lineage: Eukaryota; Metazoa; Chordata; Mammalia; Rodentia; Muridae.